UCUGUCAAAUUUUUUACCGUCAGGAUCCUUUUGAGUAACAGUAAAUAUAUCUUCGAAAAGUGUUUCAACCAUCUUCAACAACCUGCAUUGGAUAAGUUGAGAACUCAAAAUAUUAAUGAUAAAUGUACACUCACAACUCAAUUUAGAGUCUAAAAACUCCCCUAUCAAGGGUCAUGUCCUCGGAAACUUGCAUUCUAGUCAUGUCCUGCCUAAUCACCUCUCCUUUACUUAAUAAAAAUCGAAAAAUGGAUUAGGGUUCCGUCUUGUAUGUAUGAAACAGAGACAAAAAGGGCGGGAGAACUUAACAGGUGUUACAGUGAUGGCGAUUAAGCGAGGUUUUAGCGAUUUCUUCCUUUUUCUUCUUUUUUCUAUUUUUGUUAAAUGACACGCUUACAAAUUUGAAGAAAAUAUAUUUUACAGUUGAUUUUAUAAUCAAGUUACUAAGUUUUAAUGAGAUGUAUAAAAACCUCCUUGUUUGUGUCGAAUUUGCUUUUGCACCCUUAAAUUACGUUGGGGGACCUAUUAUCACCUAAAUUAUUUCGAACUGGAAUAUACCCUCUUGGAUAAUGGAUGACAAGCAAAUAAAAAUAUUUAAAUUUUACUUUUUCAACAUCUCUUUCAUUAAAUAUUUUUUUUUCUUUUUCUCUUUAUUUUAUUCUUUUCUUAGUCUAUCUCUUU
RNAcentral lists this long non-coding RNA (678 nucleotides) under Nicotiana benthamiana. RNAcentral's name for it is "long non-coding RNA (NBEN_LNC030245)". The record is from RNAcentral. Lineage: Eukaryota; Viridiplantae; Streptophyta; Magnoliopsida; Solanales; Solanaceae.